Long non-coding RNA from Grus americana (Whooping crane), 1262 nucleotides. RefSeq lists it as uncharacterized. The transcript is spliced from 2 exons. NCBI's taxonomy places the organism in Eukaryota, Metazoa, Chordata, Aves, Gruiformes, Gruidae. The record is from RefSeq and is a predicted model, not a curated record.
GUACUUAUAACUAAGAAGGUUAUACCAACGGGUUGAUUUCUCUCCGGAUCUACAUAUUUCGGCAAGGCUAAUUUGUGCUCCACCCUAUUGAGAGCAAAAACACAGUUUUAGUGUAAUACUAAAAUGAACCACUACCACACCAGUAAGAAGAAAUGAGAGCAAAAAACCAGGACCACUUGACUUCGGCAAGUUUGACAAAAGAAAAAUUGCCCUAUUUAUCCCCAUUGCAACAGCACUAGUAAUGCUUUAUGUUGAAUUAUUUUUAACAUUGUCUAGGACUUCCAAUCCAAGCAGCAAGUGCUUCACUACAGCUCCUGUGUACAAGAAUCCAGAAGUAUGAAUGGUGCUACUGCAACCAGGAUAAAUUACAGCCAGAGGUUCAAAGAAAAAGAGAAAGGAACAGGAGGUGAAGACUCCCUUUCAAGAAAUCUGCAAGGCUGACAGAAACCCCUGCCUUGGACUGAGAUGUUUUAGUUUUGCAUAUUCCAUUCCUCUUCAACUGCCUUGUCAUGGUUUAGGACACAUCCCGACAUAUUCAAAACCAAAAUAAAACUGAUUUGCAAUUUAUUGAAUCCACGUUUGAGUGGACUCCAUUGCACCAGCCCAGCACACCGCAUGCUGAGCACACCCGCUGCGAGUUAACGUGCUCCCACCUGGAGCUCAGGUACUGUAGGACUGUACAUGCUACCAAAAAAACCCCCAAAACAUUUGGAAAACAGAUGCUUUCCUGAACCAAAGUGUGCUUUGCAAAGCAAGGGAAGGAAGAAAUGCAGAAGCACCAGAAAAUGUCCCGCUCCAGCCAAGGGAGAUGCUACACAUGCAGGACAAAACAUCGACUCUUCCGUGUCCAAGGAUGAGUUCCGUAGCAGAACGAACGCCCCCUCUCCACUCAAUGCUGUUGCUCUGGGCACUGCUACAGUUAAGAACCUUGCUGGCUAGUUCUACUUCCAGGCAAGUCUUUUCCUAGCAAAUACAGACCUUUGUGGAAAAAAAAAAUGCAUCUUAUUUCAGUUUGUGGGUUUAUUACUUCCUUAACAUCACUACACAUGAAGUGUAGCAGCAUUUCAGAAAGGGUAAAUUUUUAAGAGUGUGAAAAAACAAAAACCAACAUCUGUUUAAUUCCUCCUGGAAUCUCAUACAAAUACUUCAAGCGUGUUUAUUUCACCCACUUACACUUUUUGAUCUUCUUGUAACAGCAGUGCUGGAACAUUACUCAGCUGAAUGACCAGUAUCGCAAACUGUUUAUUUUUGUCAUCAUAUCU